AGCGAACGCUGGCGGCAGGCUUAACACAUGCAAGUCGAACGGGCAUCUUCGGAUGUCAGUGGCAGACGGGUGAGUAACACGUGGGAACGUACCCUUCGGUUCGGAAUAACUCAGGGAAACUUGAGCUAAUACCGGAUACGCCCUUUUGGGGAAAGGUUUACUGCCGAAGGAUCGGCCCGCGUCUGAUUAGCUUGUUGGUGGGGUAACGGCCUACCAAGGCGACGAUCAGUAGCUGGUCUGAGAGGAUGAUCAGCCACACUGGGACUGAGACACGGCCCAGACUCCUACGGGAGGCAGCAGUGGGGAAUAUUGGACAAUGGGCGCAAGCCUGAUCCAGCCAUGCCGCGUGAGUGAUGAAGGCCUUAGGGUUGUAAAGCUCUUUUGUCCGGGACGAUAAUGACGGUACCGGAAGAAUAAGCCUCGGCUAACUUCGUG
This 435-nucleotide ribosomal RNA is filed under the name uncultured bacterium. RNAcentral describes it as "partial 16S ribosomal RNA". It matches the Rfam family "Bacterial small subunit ribosomal RNA", at positions 29 to 507 of the family's 1533-position model. The record is from RNAcentral.